GAUCUAAAAGAUUGAUUUAAAUAUUUCAAAAAUAGUUCUCAAAAUCGAUCAAUCUUAUGCUAGGAUAAUCUUUUCAAUAUAGGAGGUAAACCCUAUACCAGGAUAACCUUAUACCAGCACAAGAUUAAUUUUAAAUUAUCUAAACUUUUAGAUCUAAGAUUAAAAAUCAGAUUAUACAUAUCUUAAAAACUAGUGGCUCUGAUACCACUGUUAGA
This 215-nucleotide long non-coding RNA is filed under the name Elaeis guineensis (African oil palm). RNAcentral's name for it is "long non-coding RNA (EGUI_LNC054728)". Lineage: Eukaryota; Viridiplantae; Streptophyta; Magnoliopsida; Arecales; Arecaceae. The record is from RNAcentral.